AUGGCGUCCUUGACAAAUCUCAUACUACUACCACUUCUCUUGCUCGCCACCUUCUCUCCUACACCAUCACUGUGCUAUGUCAGUCCAUCUGCUGCAAGGGUACAUGAGGGUGUUACACAGACAUCUGCCUACCACACUUACAUUGUGCUCGUCAAGCCACCUCCCUCGGGUACCAACGAAGAGGGGCAUCGUCGGUGGUAUGAGACUUUCUUGCCGAGCUCACACAUCGGCGAAUCUGGGGAGCCCCGUCUCCUCCACUCCUACAUCGAGGUGUUCAGCGGCUUUGCGGCGAGGCUCACAGAGGCUGAGCUCGACGCGACCGCCAAGAAGCUGGGGUUCGUGCGUGCGUUCCCAGAUCGGACGCUGCAUCUCAUGACCACGCACACACCAGAGUUCCUCGGGCUCAGGAAUGGCACCGGAUUUUGGAGCGACGUAGGCUACGGGAAGGGGGUGAUCAUCGGGCUGCUCGACACCGGGAUCUAUGCAACACAUCCUUCGUUCGAUGAUCAUGGUGUCCAAUCACCCCCGACAAGGUGGAAGAGCCCGUGCAAGGCAGUCAGGUGCAACAACAAGCUCAUCGGUGCCAACUCAUUUACUGGAGAUAACGAUUCGUACGGUUAUGUGGGGCACGGAACACACACCUCGUCCACUGCCGCCGGCAACUUCGUCACCGAUGCGUCAGACCAUGGCGUGGGCACGGGCACUGCUUCCGGAAUUGCUCCAGGUGCCCACAUCGCCAUGUACAAGGUGUGCACCGCCGAGGGAUGCGAAGAAUCCGCCGUAGUGGCCGGCCUCGAUGCGGCCAUCAAGGAUGGGGUGGACGUACUCUCGCUAUCUCUCAGUAGCCUCACCGGUGUCAGCUUCAAUAAGGACCCCAUAGCCAUCGGCGCGUUCAGUGCUAUAUCCAACGGCAUCAUUGUGGUGUGCUCGGCUGGCAACAAAGGUCCCACUCCACGGUCAGUCUCCAACACUGCACCGUGGUUGCUCACAGUUGCCGCUGGCUCGGUGGACCGGAGAUUCGAUGCUGGCGUGCAUCUCGGCAACGGCAAGCGCAUGGACGGAGAAGCAUUUACCCCAGUGAUAAAGCCAACCUCAAAGCCAUACCCUCUCCUCUACUCCGAGGAACAUCGUUUCUGCCAGAAUGCGUCUUACGGUUCAGUUGCCGGGAAAAUAAUUGUUUGUCAGGCCACAACACCCAUGGCUCGCUAUUCUGACAUUUCGAGGCUAAUGGGUCAUGGUGCGGCUGGCGUGGUUCUUUUCAAUGACAAAGCCACCGGCUACACCAUUAUUCUUCAGGAUUUUGACGAGGCGAGAGUGGUGCAGGUGACCUCCGCCGACGGCAUCGCCCUCGCAGCUUACACGAAGUCAUCAUCGAACGACGCCGUUGCCACUUUCACAUAUAACAACACAGUGUUGGGUGUUCGUCCGAACCCGGUCGUGGCGUCGUUCUCUUCCCGGGGUCCAAGCUCCGUCGCUCCUGGUGUGCUCAAGCCAGACAUUCUUGCGCCCGGGCUCAACAUCCUUGCGGCGUGGCCAAGUCCCCCUUUCAAAAUCAUAUCGGGGACGUCCAUGGCAACGCCACAUGUCAGUGGUGUCGCGGCGCUUAUCAAAAGCUUGCAUCCCGACUGGUCACCGGCUGCCAUCAAGUCGGCCAUCCUGACGACGUCGAACACCAUGAACAACAUCGGCGGCUCGAUCUUGAACGAGAGGCAUGAUAAAGCCAGUGCGUACGAUAGAGGCGCCGGCCAUGUGAACCCGGCGAGGGCUGCUGACCCCGGUUUGGUGUACGACCUCAGUGUAACAGACUAUGCAGGCUACAUCUGCUGGCUCCUUGGCGAGGAAGGCUUGGUGACCAUCGUAUGCAACUCAAGCUUGACCUGCGCGAAGCUGCCCAAGGUCAAGGAUGUUCAGCUCAACUACCCUACUCUAACUGUGCCGCUGGCAUCAACGCUGUUCACCAUGACCCGGACGGUGACGAACGUUGGGCCGGCAGAUUCUACGUACGCUGCUAAGGUAAACUCGCCAAGCUCUAUGACAGUGCAUGUCUCCCCAGAGACACUGGUGUUCUCCAAGGCUGGAGAAAAGAAGACGUUCAGCGUGACAGUGAUCUGCCAAGGCGUGGGUGCAUCAGAAACCUUUGUGGAGGGAAGCUUGAGCUGGGUGUCGAAGAAGCAUGUUGUGCGUAGUCCCAUUGUCGCCAUCCGUGGAGCAGGAGGUCCUGCUCCCACUCCAUCACCAUGA
RNAcentral lists this ribosomal RNA (2241 nucleotides) under Triticum aestivum (bread wheat). RNAcentral describes it as "partial small subunit ribosomal RNA". The record is from RNAcentral. Lineage: Eukaryota; Viridiplantae; Streptophyta; Magnoliopsida; Poales; Poaceae.